UACGGAGGGUGCAAGCGUUAUCCGGAUUCACUGGGCUUAAAGGGUGCGUAGGCGGGCAGGUAAGUCAGUGGUGAAAUCUCCGAGCUUAACUUGGAAACUGCCGUUGAUACUAUCUGUCUUGAAUAUUGUGGAGGUGAGCGGAAUAUGUCAUGUAGCGGUGAAAUGCUUAGAUAUGACAUAGAACACCAAUUGCGAAGGCAGCUCGCUACACAUAUAUUGACUCUGAGGCACGAAAGCGUGGGGAGCAAACAGG
RNAcentral lists this ribosomal RNA (253 nucleotides) under uncultured bacterium. RNAcentral describes it as "partial 16S ribosomal RNA". It matches the Rfam family "Bacterial small subunit ribosomal RNA", at positions 524 to 776 of the family's 1533-position model. The record is from RNAcentral.